GGCACCAUAGUGUGGUGUUAGCACGUCUGCUUUACACGCAGAAGAUCUUGGGUUCGUGCCCCAGUGGAGCCA
RNAcentral lists this transfer RNA (72 nucleotides) under Pteropus alecto (black flying fox). It matches the Rfam family "tRNA". Rfam says of the family: Transfer RNA (tRNA) molecules are approximately 80 nucleotides in length. Lineage: Eukaryota; Metazoa; Chordata; Mammalia; Chiroptera; Pteropodidae. The record is from Rfam by way of RNAcentral.